RNAcentral lists this ribosomal RNA (484 nucleotides) under uncultured bacterium. Its description in RNAcentral is "partial 16S ribosomal RNA". It matches the Rfam family "Bacterial small subunit ribosomal RNA", at positions 30 to 507 of the family's 1533-position model. The record is from RNAcentral.
AUUGAACGCUGGCGGCAGGCCUAACACAUGCAAGUCGAGCGGAUGAAGGGAGCUUGCUCCUGGAUUCAGCGGCGGACGGGUGAGUAAUGCUUAGGAAUCUGCCUGGUAGUGGGGGAUAACGUCCGGAAACGGGCGCUAAUACCGCAUACGUCCUGAGGGAGAAAGUGGGGGAUCUUCGGACCUCACGCUAUCAGAUGAGCCUAGGUCGGAUUAGCUAGUUGGUGGGGUAAAGGCCUACCAAGGCGACGAUCCGUAGCUGGUCUGAGAGGAUGAUCAGUCACACUGGAACUGAGACACGGUCCAGACUCCUACGGGAGGCAGCAGUGGGGAAUAUUGGACAAUGGGCGAAAGCCUGAUCCAGCCAUGCCGCGUGUGUGAAGAAGGUCUUCGGAUUGUAAAGCACUUUAAGUUGGGAGGAAGGGCAGUAAGUUAAUACCUUGCUGUUUUGACGUUACCAACAGAAUAAGCACCGGCUAACUUCGUG